RNAcentral lists this ribosomal RNA (254 nucleotides) under uncultured bacterium. RNAcentral's name for it is "partial 16S ribosomal RNA". It matches the Rfam family "Bacterial small subunit ribosomal RNA", at positions 524 to 776 of the family's 1533-position model. The record is from RNAcentral.
UACGGAGGAGGCAAGCGUUAUCCGGAAUUAUUGGGCGUAAAGCGUGCGCAGGCGGUUGUGUAAGACAGGGUGUGAAAUCCCCGGGCUUAACCUGGGAACUGCACUUGUGACUGCACGGCUGGAGUGCGGCAGAGGGGGAUGGAAUUCCGCGUGUAGCAGUGAAAUGCGUAGAUAUGCGGAGGAACACCGAUGGCGAAGGCAAUCCCCUGGGCCUGCACUGACGCUCAUGCACGAAAGCGUGGGGAGCAAACAGG